This 1011-nucleotide unclassified non-coding RNA is filed under the name Tobacco streak virus. RNAcentral's name for it is "subgenomic RNA". The record is from RNAcentral. Lineage: Riboviria; Orthornavirae; Kitrinoviricota; Alsuviricetes; Martellivirales; Bromoviridae.
GUAUGAAUACUUUGAUCCAAAGUCCAGACCAUCCAUCCAACGCCAUGUCUUCUCGUACUAACAACCGCUCAAACAACAGCAGAUGCCCAACUUGUUUUGAUGAGUUGGAUGCAAUGGCGCGGAAUUGUCCCGCCCACAACAACAAUCCCGUGAACGCUGUUUCACGACGCCAGCGACGCAAUGCCGCUAGAGCUGCCGCGUAUCGAAACGCGAAUGCAAGAUUGACGGUGCCCAUUCCAGUGGUACCUGUUUCCCGCCCUCAGGCGAAGACGUCGUUUAGGCUACCCAACAACCAGAUUUGGGUAACUCGCAAAGCGAGUGAAUGGUCCUCCAAGACCGUUGAUACCAACGACGCAAUCCCUUUCAAAACCAUAGUCGAAGGGAUCACCGGAAUCAACGAUGAGACGAAGUUUUACCGUCUCUUAAUUGGUUUUGUCGCCGUCUCUGAUGGGACUUUUGGGAUGGUUGAUGGAGUAACGGGCGAUGUUAUUCCUGACCCACCGGUUGUUGGACGGUUGGGUUUUAAGAAGAAUACGUACCGCAGCCGAGACUUUGAUCUCGGUGGUAAGCUUCUCAACCAGCUAGACGACAGAGCUGUCGUCUGGUGCCUCGACGAGAAGCGUCGAGAGGCCAAGAGGGUUCAGCUGGCAGGUUAUUGGAUUGCCAUUUCCAAACCAGCUCCCUUGAUGCCACCAGAAGAUUUUCUGGUGAAUCAAGAUUGACUAGAUGGUCACCUCGGUAGGACCGAGAUGCCGCGCAUUAGAGGAAAUUCCUGUGCGCGAUGUGGAUACACGCCUCCACGUAUUGUAGAUCAAUACGUUUGGAAGUGUGUCGUGUGUUCCUAUGAACAACAUGCAUAGCUGCCGCGCAUCCGGGCGUGAGUCUAUGAUCCAUGCGAGCAUUCCGAAUCGGACGAUUUCCAUGGGAAACCCAUGAGACCUUUGGGUCGAUGCUUGCGUUUGGUGCCAGUAGUAUAUAAUAUACUACUGAUGCCUCCUUUAUAGGAGAUGC